Long non-coding RNA from Alligator mississippiensis (American alligator), 6841 nucleotides. RefSeq lists it as uncharacterized. The record is from RefSeq and is a predicted model, not a curated record. Lineage: Eukaryota; Metazoa; Chordata; Crocodylia; Alligatoridae. The transcript is spliced from 7 exons.
CUCGCGUGGGGGGGGAGUGCGUGGGCUGGGCCCACCCGUGUCACUUGGGGGGCAUCCAGCGAGCCUCCAGGCCCGGCCUUGCUCGGGUAGGAAACCGGAGCGGCGCGUCCACACGGGCCGGGGUGGGGCGGCGGAGGGCAUCGCCGCUGGAAAUGCCCCGCGGAGGCGGGUCGAGCCCGGGUGAGUGGUGCCCCGCGCCCCGGGGCCGCCCUCCCCUUAGACGGGUCCCGCCGGGCCCUGGCGGCCGGGGAGGCGCUUGGCGCCAGGCGGCCGCGGCUGCACAGGAAAGCCCCGGCUCUUGUCACUUCGCAUUGACCCCAAAAUCCUCAAGCCGCGCCCUGCGCGCCGGGGCGGGGGGAGGCCAGCCCCCCGGAGCCCCCCGGCGGCUCCGCUCCCCUGCACCGAGCCUGACCCCGGAGCAGCCCGGGCCGCCUCGAGGGGACGCCCCGUCCUGCCCCCCGCCAGCUGCCCUCUGGGUGCCUGGGUCGCCUGUCGACAUCAGCCCAGGCUUCAAGCGUGAGAGGAGCGUGCAGCGGUGGCGUCAACGCUCAUUGCACGCAAAGGAGACCCGGGCCCGAAAUAUCUCCUCUCUGAACUUUGCCUCCUCUUGGGUCAGCCCGGCGGCUCUCAAGAUGCGUUUCCUCUGGAUGCCCAAACUCAGUCUCACCUUACGCCAGGACGUCUUCCGUAAAUCCGUCCUCACUUCUCGACUCAGACUCUGAGCACCGGUGGGAAGGAAAGGGGAGCGGGGAGCACCCGCAGCCUGGCAGAAAAGGAGCCGCUGCUUGCGAGAGCUGCAGGGCAUCAGAUACUCCUGCAGCCGUCUGGGGCUGACCCGAAAUGCUGGCGGCCAGAUCUGGACCUGAAGGACGGCAGCCACGCUGAAACAGCAGGAUGUGGGAGAGAAUUCAGUUGAGACGGUGGCUCCUAUCUGUACGCCCCCCACCAAGGUACUUCUGCCAGCUUCUCGCUGGGCGUUGCACCGGGGCUGUUUAUAGCAAGAGGCGCUGAAAACCAGCGUCUGUUCCCAUCACGUGAGAUUCGGCAGCACUCAGGAGCCAGCUGGGAGAAACCAGAACGGAUCCCCUUCCGUUCUUACCUACCACGCGCGCCUGAUCCUCGCCGUCCUGUCUCAUCCGACUGCAAGCCGAAGCCUCUGUUGUAUUAAGCGUGGUGACAAAUUGGACGGGGGUCCUCGCUGCGGUCCUCAGGGCUGUGGGAGUGCCUCCGAUUGCUCAACAGUGACCCCUCUCUCAGCCUCCGACUCCACCAGGGAGAUGCAAAUUAAAAUGCCUUUCUGCAUGUUCACAACACCUACCAGUCCGCACGUUACUGAGCAGCACUCUGUUUCCCCCCUUCGCUGGGAAGAGUGGCACGCUGCCCAAACGUCUCCGAGGAAAUAUGCAGUUGCUCGUUUUAAAACACGGCCAAAUCGGCGAACGAAGUUGAGAGCAGAGGAGCCUGCAAGCUGGAAAUAACUCUUGUGUGAAGUCUCAAAGAGUUAAUGUACAACCAAGGAAUUCCUCUAGCCACGUCCCACGGAAAAAGCAACUUAAGUCAUUUCAAGCUCUUCAGGUUCAGUCUGAUGUUAGGGCGCAGCACAGCAAGGAUAAGGAGCGAUGGCUAGCUGCUGGUUUUUUUUUUCCAUGGUCUUCACCUGCAUUUGAAUGGGCAGCCAGCAGCCCUUCCCAAGCGUGGCCUAGAUUUGUCAGGGCAAGACGUGGCCACCACGUAAUUUAAAUGGAGCGUUAGAUCUCUUACGCUGCUUUAAAAAAUGUGCAUAAAGCAGCCCCUGAGUCCUGUGCAAGAGGGAGCUCAGACCUGCAAGAGGAUGGAGAAUUACGGGUGCAAUUCCAGCCUCCCGCCCCUGUGUGCUUCCCGCUGUGCAGGCGUGCACGUGCAUGGGGGGAGGAAAGCCACCGAGUCUUUCUGUCUCCUGAUGAUCGUCUUCAGAUGCGGUUUCUGCCUGGCCACCCAGCCUCAGUCUGAAGCACUUGCUGGGAAGGUCUCCAGAGGAAGACACCCUGACAGGGGAUGGAUGAAGCUGGAAGAUGGGACGCUCCCUCCUGGGAUAGUGUUGGGGAAGCUGUGGGCAUUCACAGCCCUAUUCAGCGUACGGGGGAAGGCCGCCCCUCGAGUCCCGGGGCAGCGCGACGGCCUGGGCUACCUUUCUUGGCAACUGUACGCAUUUGUGUAAGAUGCUUUGCAAAUCCCUUAUCUGAACCAGGAAUGCACAGACCGAAGGGGCCUGUCCUAAACUUUUCCAGAACCCAAGCUGCAGUAUUACUCCGCUUGCUUCUCACCCCAUAAAACAAUCCCAGAAAAAGGCACCGACUGGCCCUUAAACACGAACACCAGCAGCAAUGCACGGAUACAAACUUAGGGCCUGAUGCAAAGCCUCUUUAAAGGAGGCUGCCUCAUCAACUUCAAAGGGUUUCGCAUCGGGCCCUGAUAGAGAAAUCCUGGACCCACUGCCAUUAAUGGCAAAACUCCCAAUGACUUCAAAGGGGCAGAAUUUCACUCCUACUCAACAACUGUGAAUGGCUGUUUUAAAACGCUCGCCCAUUGUACUACCUGUUUCUAUCAGCAGGGGAAAAAAACAAUUCCCUCUUUAUGGGGCUGUGCAGCAUGCCAAGUGAGAGAUCACUUUAGAGACUUAAAGAAGCAGAGGCUUUUUGCUAUUUAUGAGGGAAGAGUGCCCCGGGUAACUGAAUCUCGGAGAACCAGGAUCCCGCUAAUGUACGAGGAACCAUAAAGUGAAACGUUAGAAGUUGGCUAGCAGCAAACGCGAGGCAGACUCAUCUACCUUCGUUGUCUCCCAUGAACGAAGUGCAAAAAAAGGUAAAUAAACCAGAAGGGAAAUGUCUUUUCCACUCUGGUUUUUAAAACAUUUAAUCUCCCUCCAAUCUAUGCACUACCACGGCAUUUGGUGUCAUACUAGCAAAACGGGGAGAAUUUUUUUUUUUUUUUAAGAAAUCCCUUUAAACUCAAUGGCAGCCUUGGCAAAGGAGGCUGAGGCCCUCUGACCUAACGAGGGCCCGAGAUGAGGGUUUCUUUUGAAAUUCCCAUCUAAAACCACCACCUGUGCGGCAGUAUCCUAUGGCCCAAAACAAACUCCACGUCUGCUGAAAUGGUGUCACUUCAGCGGGGCUGAUUUUUCCACUUGCAGAGCACUUCAAGAAUUAUCUCUGCAUUUUUUUUGUUGUUGUCAAGGGACAGUAGCAUCAAAUAUUUAGUGAUUAUAAACAGAGCAGAAUAAAAAAAAAAAAAAAGCAACUGCCUGAAACGAGAGCUCAGGAUCUGAUUUCUUCUAACCGGAUGCCUGCAAGAUGUCACUGAAUUCUCUCUCCAUGCAACCCGCGUGGAGCCAAUAUGAACUCCCAGCAAAGUGCUUAAAAACCCAUUAUUUAUAAUAACUGUUAAAUGAUGAGACAUUGUUUACCCAGAUCGCAAGAUAAAUUCUCACUUACAGAAUGCUUGUCUGACUGUCCUGAACAUCAUCUGGUUUUUAUUUAAAUGCAAAAUGUAAUUACUCUCAAUAACACAGCAGAAGAAUUCAAUAAGAUAUGGCUUUGCACUUAUGGUUUAAUAUUAACAUUUCCCCAUAAACGUUAAUGAAUAAAAGUCUACUGCUGUAUAUUUUACAUGCGAUUGAGAGGAAGGGAGGGAGGGAAAUAUUUUCAUAUCUGGAGCGCAACACUGAAUUCAGGGGAGCUCAGGGUUUUCAGACCCUGGCUGAGACAGCACCUCCUGCCGGCAUCAGACUCAAAGCGCCACAUCCAGAAAAGACAGAUCCCAAGCGUUCAAGAAGUGGCAGGAGGUAGCACGAGGCUGAAUGACUGCGUCUGUAAGUAAGGCCUCCGUUGAGAGAAAUCACUCUGGUCUUUUCCUCGUCUCUGUUGUGCACCUAGUACCAUCAGCACUGGACCGUCUGCUGCCUGGACUACAGCAGCACUUACAGUCUGCUCCCACUGGUCUGGGUACGCCCGCGAUGGACGCGGUCUCCUUGUGUGGCCCCUUUGAGACGUACCUCCAACAGCAGGCGCCCCGCAGUAGCCUGCCCACUUUUGGGGCACCCGUGCAAAAGGGUUGCCCCUUGGUGAGAGGGUUCUGGCAGCCGCUUUGCACGGUUUAAGCAAGAUCCAUAGAGCAGAGGAGCCCGCUCGCCCGAGUGUCCUCAGGCAAAAGACUGCUAAGGGCGUGACUCUUCACUGCAUUACUGAACAGCAAUGAUGUUGGUGCAGCGGGUUCAACGGAUGCAGUGAUGUACACCGAAGGUAGCACUGGGAUGAACUAGGCCCACGGCACUUAAGGAGCAUGUUCUUUGCUGAUCUCAAAUUGCUUUGCUAAAUGGGGAUUUGUCCCCAUUCUACAGCCGACAAAACCAAGGCGCACAUGCUUGCCUGACAGCAGAAAACAGGUCAGUGCCAGAGCUGGAAUCAGAAGGUCGGUCCCCUGACACCCCUCCCACCGUGCCACGAUGCUGCCAGCAGCACGUGCCAGCUAGUAGAUGGCAUACGCACACAUUGCUGCUGCUGAAAAAUUCAUGCUCAUGUGUGGGAGGGUCAGCCUCGGCCCGCAGGACCCGUGCGCCAGCUUUGCCUUCACCCCUCUAUCACACUGCCACCCAGAAUAGGAUUUGGCAUAUAAAACACCUGUAUACACUUCCAUCUGAUUCAGACACUGGAUGGUCGGGGCCAUUUACGCCUAUCUAGAAACAUAUAUUUCCCCUACCCCAUGCUGCAUCCUACAUGCAAACGCUUGCAAGAGGCUUCGAAAGAAUUGUGGGGAGCAGAGACGGGAAAAGCCCUCUUAGACAAAGCAGUCCAUUGCACGUGGCUAGCGCAGAAGUGGCCCCCAUCUCAUUUCCAGAGCUUUGGCUUUGGCUUGUAAAGGGAAGGUUUAAUAAAAUGAGAGCUUUUCAACCCAGGCAGCGCGGUUCAAAAAAAGAACUUAGAGGCCUACUAAAACCCGGCAGGUUUGGGGAACAUAGAAAUAGGCUUCAUUAAGUAGCAAAUGCCUUCCAAGGGCCUGAUGCAACAAAAAGGCCCUUGCAGGAUGAGACACACGAGAGCACCUCUGUGCUCCUGUUCGCACUGAAAUCAAUGUCAAGAGCCCCAAGGAUGCAAAAAAGCUUGUUGCUUUAAAAGGUCCCCAGUGCACAUCAACACAGAUGAGCAAAGCCAAGCUAAAAGGCAGGCUGCUUACCAACUCAGAUGAAAUGCUGGUGUCUUGUGGUAAGGAAAAUAAUUUACUUAAUCGCUUAAAAAAAACCCAACAACAACAAAUCUCUUAGGAGAAAGUCAAUUGUUUGCCGGCUAACUGCUCUGAGACAAAGCAACGGAAGGGAAAUGUCCAGUUCCAAUCAUUUCGUAACCCGAUUACAGCCCGCACAGAAGAGCUGAAACACUUGGAGAACAAUGAUUAAGAAAUUAAGCUUCAAAUUAAGUGUGCGUCCUAUAUGGGCCUGCUUCUUCCUAUGAUACCGGAAAGGACACGGCUGGGCUCGUUCCACGCGCGAGCUGGCGAUGCGAGCGUACAGCCCAGCGAUGAAUCAUCUCAGACAUUUCCCGACCCCCCCCCCCCCCGCCAUCCCACCAUUUCUUUCUCCAAGAGGAAUGACAAAUCUAGAAAUGGCACUGCACUUUGUUUCAUGACGGUAUCGAUUUUCCUGCACAGGAAAAGUGCAUUUGUCCUCUCCGCCCGCAGGCUGGCAAGAAAGGGUUAACCAAAUGUUUAUCACAAGGCUGGCUUCAGAGUUGAAAGUAAUGUGAUCAGUAAUGAAUUUUGUGUUACAUUAGGUUGUAUAAAUGGACAGACAAGCGCAGACAACAAGUGGCCAGGAGUCGGGGCUAAUCUAAUGAUGUAAAAAUAGAGACAGCACCAAUUAUACUUGGGGCCAGCUCAGAGCUCCUGCAGGGACUGCAAAUGAAUAGGUACAAAUCAAAUUACUGACUAAUAGACGCACUACAAGAGAGGGCAGUCAAUGCUAAAUGCAUUAGGGCCUUGUGACCUCCCUGCUCUGAACAGCAGAAUCCUAAAUUUGACUUAAAAAAAAAAAAUCAAAGAAACUCUUGUUCAGUUAAGAAGAGAGAUACAACAAUGUGACUUGUGAAAUGAUUUAAAAUGUUCACAUUUCCCCCCACCCCGUCCCUUUGUUAGGAUAUUCUGUAUGGCUCGGGCAUUGCUUCAAACCUUUUUCCAAUCUGACCCAGGGUUUUUGCUUUGUCAAAACAUGGAGAAAUAGUCUUUGUGCAAAAGUUAAGACCUGAGAACAAUACAGUUAUGUUACAUACCAAAACAUUUCAAAGCCAUGUGCCUCUUUGUGGAGAUGUUUUUUACUGCUACUUCAACGGCUGUGUCUGCAUCAAAAAUAAAAUAGGUCUUUAAAAAAAAACCCUUUAAAAAAAAAAAAGAAAGAAAAAAGAAAACGGACUUUCCCCCAAACAACAAGCGAUUAGCAAGAAAUGCAGUUGACCGCCACCUUAUUGAAUGGUAGACAGCCACAUUGCUCUCUUGGCAUUUGGACCCUCUUUGGAAGCGUCCCGACACUCACGGCUGCUUCUCCGAAUGGCAACGCACCCAAUUGCACAUUGAAAACAUUUCAGUAUCAACACUGCCUCCCUUCAGAGCUCCCCUCAAUAACCCCAAGGAAACUUCAGUCAAAAGAUACUGUCGCUGUUUUCCAAGGUCUGCGCAUCUAACGGGAGCUUGGGAGGAAAUGGCUCGUUUGGCAGACUAUGACUGGAGCGUCCCCGGCAGGUUUCAAAGCAGCUGAUAGCCAAGAGUCCCCGGAUUUGGAAACAGUCAUAUCAUUAAAAAUGCCUCUGUUGGCCUGGCA